Molecule: long non-coding RNA, 619 nt
Filed under: Apteryx owenii (little spotted kiwi)
Lineage: Eukaryota; Metazoa; Chordata; Aves; Apterygiformes; Apterygidae
Description: lncRNA (ENSAOWG00000008432.1)
Source: RNAcentral
CAGUAGCAGGCUGCUGCUGGGAACAAGUUAGCCAGGACUCCUUCCGGUUCAUGGGCUGCCUAGGAAAUACAUCUUCAGCUGAGGCACGGCUCUGCUUGUGCUGCAGGGUCCUGGUGCAGACACAGCUGUGCAGUGCCCUGCAAACACAGAGACCUCGCCAGCCUGAAGCAUGGGCUGGUUGAAUGGGUCUCAUGUGGGACAGAUAGGAUGGGGUAGGCCUGUUUUCUUGGGGAUGACAAGUUGAACUUCUCUCUUUCUGUCCGCAGGUCCCUUAGCAGGCUGAGAAGGGAGGGCAGGAGGCCUCACGGACACCACAGCCACUGGGACAAGGGUUUGCGGGGCAAGAGUAGUGUCGAGGCAAAGGCUGGAAGCCCGAACAGCAGGCACCAGUUGCAGUUUGUUUGUCAGGCGCGCAGAAUGAGGACAAGACUGCAGAGCUGUUGCUGAUGCACAGGAUACAACGGCCACAGCAGAUCAGAGCUGACGGAGCCAAACCGGAAAAGCAGUGGGGACAGCAAUGCCUGCAAGCACAGGGUGGAGCAGCCAAGAGAAGCUGUCCCAGUGCAGAAGCUCUCUUGGGCUGGUGCAUGUGGCUACCCAGGCUUCUGGGAUGGUGUUU